GUCAAGCAAGUGAAAGUUAACAGAUUUAAGGAGCAUAUUCAGAAAGAAGUGUAGUUAAGCCUGUUUUUAAGCCUGUUUUUGGACAUUUAGAGUAUCCAAAACAGAAACGGAGCACUGGCCUUAAGUGGAAUAUGGAGGUGGAGGAAUUUGUUUUCCAGGCUCUCCAGCAUUUCUUUCUUCAUCCUCUUCUGAACAAUCGCUGAUCCUGCUCCCCUUCUCCCCUGCUACUUGGGAUUAGGAAGCAGCUGACAAAUCCAUUAAGUCGUGAGAAUUUUCUAUUACUCCUCCCAGCAGGAUAUCAGGAAGAGAAGACUCUCAAAUGUUGAAAUUUCAGAUGUGGGCGAGGAAGUGACAUUUAUCGCUGUACACAGAAGAAAAUGAGCCAAGAAGUGCUGCAGGAGUUCAGAGGCGAGAGAGAGGAAUGUGGCCUGACAUGCACAGAUUUCAAGAAGGAGGUAGAGCUGAAGAUGGUCCUUUAGGCUGGCUGAAAUGAAAUGACUCCCAGGGAAACUUGGAACCCAUGUGUUGAAGGUGGUAGCACUUCCAUCAGCCUGGGUCCUGAGUGCCUGCAGGAGGAUAUCCUGUGGAUCCAUGUACCUGCUGAGGACUACAAGCAUCUACUGAGUGCUGAUAUAGCUUGGAUAAGUGUCCACACCCAAAUCUAAGUUCAGCAUGAUUUGAGAUUGAAGCUGUGCAGCCAUUGCUACAAUCAAUUCCAGAACUCCUUCAGCAUUCAAAAGGAGACCCUGUACCCAUUGGCAAUCGCUCUCAAUUUUCCCCUUUCCCCAGCCCUUGGAAACUACUAAUUUUCUUUCCAUCUCUUUAUAGAUUUGCCUAUUCUGGACAUUUAAUAUAAAUGGAAUUAUAUACUAUGUGGUCCUUUGUGAUGGUCUUCUUUCACUUAGAAUAAUGUUUUCAAAGGUCAUGCACAUUAUAGCCUGCAUCAGUACUUUAUUGCUUUUAAUGAAUGAAUAAUAUUCCAUUGUAUGGGCAUACCACAUUUUAUGUACUCAUUUAUCAGUUGAUGGACAUCUGGGCUUGUUUAUACUUUUUGGCUAUUAUGAAUUAUAAUGCUACAAACAUUUGUGUACAAGUUUUUGGUAAACAUAAGCUUGCAAUUCUCUUGGGUAUGUUCUAGUUGUAGAAUGUCUGGAUCAUGUGAUAACUCUAUAUUUAAACUUUUGAGGUGUUGCCAGAUUGUUUUCCAAGGUGGCUGCACCAUUUUGCAUUUCCAAUAGUACAGUUUGAGGGUUCCAAUUUCUCUCUACAUCCUCUCCAACACUUAUUAUUAUCUGUCUUUUUGGUAGGUGUAAAGUGGUAUCUCAUUGUAGUUUUGAUUUGCAUUUACUUGAUGACUAAUGAGGUUGGGCAUCUUUAUAUGCUUAUUGGUCAUUGGGAUAUCUUUUAGGAGAAAUGUUUAUUCAGAUCCUUUACCCAUUUAAAAGAUUGUAUUAGGAAGGCAGCAAACCACACUGCCAUGUGUGUACCUAUGCAACAAUCUCACAUGUUCUUCACAUGUACCCCAAAACCCAAAA
This is a non-coding RNA of Callithrix jacchus (white-tufted-ear marmoset), 1535 nucleotides long. The record is from RefSeq and is a predicted model, not a curated record. NCBI's taxonomy places the organism in Eukaryota, Metazoa, Chordata, Mammalia, Primates, Cebidae.